AUUGAACGCUGGCGGCAGGCCUAACACAUGCAAGUCGAACGAGUGGCGGACGGGUGAGUAAUGUCUGGGAAACUGCCUGAUGGAGGGGGAUAACUACUGGAAACGGUAGCUAAUACCGCAUACCAUCGGAUGUGCCCAGCUGGGAUUCGCUAGUAGGUGGGGUAAAGGCUCAACUAGGCGACGAUCCCUAGCUGGACUGAGAGGAUUACCAGCCACACUGGAACGGCGACACGGUCCAGACUCCUACGCGAGGCAGCAGUGGGGAAUAUUGCACAAUGGGCGCAAGUCUGGUGCAGCCAUGCCGCGUGUAUGAAGAAGGUCUUCGGAUUGUAAAGCACUUUAAGUUGGGAGUCGUUACCAACAGAAUAAGCACCGGCUAACUUCGUGCCAGCAGCCGCGGUAAUUC
RNAcentral lists this ribosomal RNA (406 nucleotides) under uncultured bacterium. RNAcentral describes it as "partial 16S ribosomal RNA". It matches the Rfam family "Bacterial small subunit ribosomal RNA", at positions 30 to 526 of the family's 1533-position model. The record is from RNAcentral.